Molecule: long non-coding RNA, 520 nt
Filed under: Homo sapiens (human)
Lineage: Eukaryota; Metazoa; Chordata; Mammalia; Primates; Hominidae
Description: AFF2 intronic transcript 1 (AFF2-IT1)
Source: RNAcentral
GAUAUUACUACUUUAGCACUGAUUGGGUCUCAGUUAUUUGUGUGUUAUCAUGCAUGUAUUUAAUUGAGCAGCUACUACAUGCAAGGAGCUGUGAGAAAUGAACAUGAGGCCAAGAUAUUGACCUUGCCCUCAAGGAAUUUACAGUCUUGUCAGAGAGAUAAUCCAUACCCACAAACACCGUAAAAAGUAGACAGAAUUAAGAAGUAUGAGAGCUACACAGAGAACAUGACGGGAAUUCAAAGAAAGUACUACUCCUUUCUUUCAGUGAAGGGUCCAGAGUGGCUCUGAGGUUCAUUUUGAACAUGACGGGAAUUCAAAGAAAGUACUACACCUUUCUUGCAGUGAAGGGUCCAGAGUGGCUCUGAGGUUCAUUUUGAACAUGACGGGAAUUCAAAGAAAGUACUACACCUUUCUUGCAGUGAAGGGUCCAGAGUGGCUCUGAGGUUCAUUUUGUACAUGAAGAGAUGAGAAAGGACAAUCUAAGUGGAAGAUACAGGAGAAACACGGAAACAAACAAAAG